GCUAUUAUGGCUCAGGUGGUAGAGCACUUCCUUGGUAAGGAAGAGGUCGUGGGUCCGAUUCCCACUAAUAGCACCA
RNAcentral lists this transfer RNA (76 nucleotides) under Rickettsiales bacterium. RNAcentral describes it as "tRNA-Thr". It matches the Rfam family "tRNA". Rfam says of the family: Transfer RNA (tRNA) molecules are approximately 80 nucleotides in length. Their secondary structure includes four short double-helical elements and three loops (D, anti-codon, and T loops). Lineage: Bacteria; Pseudomonadati; Pseudomonadota; Alphaproteobacteria; Rickettsiales. The record is from RNAcentral.